UGGGCUUGGGUAGGUUUAGAUCUGGUAUCUAGCAUGUGGGGUUAAAGGAUUUAAUCCAUUUUAUUUUUUGCUACCUAUUUUCAAAGUUUUGAAAUUUAUACAUGCUGCCUAUCUGAUUUUCUAACAAUAUGGUAUGGUAAGAAGUCGAGUCUAGAUUAUCUUAAGAUUUGGAGAUGUCCGACCUAUGUCAAGAGAUAGAUUGCUAAUAAAUUAGAGGAUAGAUCAGUAAUAGCUUAUUUUAUAGGAUAUCUAAAAAAUUAAUAGGAUACUACUUUUAGUUUCUACAAG
RNAcentral lists this long non-coding RNA (288 nucleotides) under Elaeis guineensis (African oil palm). RNAcentral's name for it is "long non-coding RNA (EGUI_LNC066224)". Lineage: Eukaryota; Viridiplantae; Streptophyta; Magnoliopsida; Arecales; Arecaceae. The record is from RNAcentral.